UGCCAGCAGCCGCGGUAAUACGGAGGGAGCGAGCGUUAAUCGGAAUUACUGGGCGUAAAGCGCGCGUAGGCGGCUUUGUAAGUCGGAUGUGAAAGCCCUGGGCUCAACCUGGGAACUGCAGUUGAUACUGGCCGACUAGAGUAUGAAAGAGGGAGGUAGAAUUCCAUGUGUAGCGGUGAAAUGCGUAGAUAUAUGGAGGAAUACCAGUGGCGAAGGCGGCCUCCUGGUCCAAUACUGACGCUGAGGUGCGAAAGCGUGGGGAUCAAACAGGAUUAGAUA
Molecule: ribosomal RNA, 279 nt
Filed under: uncultured bacterium
Lineage: Bacteria
Description: partial 16S ribosomal RNA
Rfam family: Bacterial small subunit ribosomal RNA
Source: RNAcentral